Molecule: small RNA, 4180 nt
Filed under: Pongo abelii (Sumatran orangutan)
Lineage: Eukaryota; Metazoa; Chordata; Mammalia; Primates; Hominidae
Description: retained intron
Source: RNAcentral
AGUUAACUUGCUCACGCUCAAUUAGCCCCGAAUAAACCACUUUAAUAGACUCUGCACACUUCAUUAAUGCCCAGCAUAGGACUGGCGGCAGACCUGGGAUUGGCGGUCCACCGCGCGAGGGACGCAAGUGCCCGCGCUGCGCAGGGACCCGGGAUCCCGAGCGCGAAUUGCGUCUGCUGUGCGUGGUCGGGUCCCCUUAUUCUUUCCCCCAGGUCCUGAGGCCCAAGCUGUUUGAAGAGUGGGUGCCUAGCCUGGGGAAGGGUUUUCCAUCCUGUGUUUAAAGAUCGAAAGUAUUCGCCCUGGGGUUCCGGGGUCUGGGAAACCGGGGCCGGAGGGGCCGGGGGCUCACCCAUCCUUUCUGGCUGGAGAGGCUAGGGUGAGACUGUGUUUUUCUCUUAGCCGACCUCCUGAAGCCGGAUCGUGCUUUCGGCCCAUUCUUGAUACUAGUGUAAAGAGCCACGUUUCGAACGAAUUUCGUCCCGGGGAAAGUCGUUGGCGGGAGCCUGGGGAGCCCUGGCUUCCGAAUGCUUCAGAAAACAAGGAACGGGCUGGGCCGCGGAAGAAAAUAAAUGUAGUGUUGGGGAAAACAAGAUUGGGCAGAUAGCCCGGAAAGGUUGGCUCCCAGGAACCAUUAUAGCUGCAAGCACUCCCCCUUCCCGGCACCCCCUACGGAGCCCAAGACGGCUCCGGUCUUGGCUCCAAGGAAGAAGGCGAGGAAAGGCCUAGCGAGGUUGGUGGUUUCUCCCACCCAGGCACGGAGAGGGUUCGGGCCAGUGUGCAGCCCAGAGUCCCACAGCCAUGGCCGCUGGCUUGGCCUUGGAUAGGCCAAGCACCCAGAGGAGCAGGGGGGAGGCCUCCGCAGCUCCCAGCGGGCUCCGGGACCCGCAGAUAAGGAUCUGAUUUCCAGCGCCUGGAAGGGAAGAAGAGGUGACAGCAAUUCAAAGAGCGCUCAUCCCUCCUAAGUCCAGGCCGACCUUUGAAGUUAGCGAGGCUUCUCCUCCUUCCCCUUCCCCAACCCAAAUGGGUCCCAGCUUCCUCUCUGGCCCAAUUUGAAAUUUACUUCUCCUUGUGUCCGAGCUCUGGGAUAGUCUCAAUUUGUCCCGGGCACGACCCGAGCUUGGCGCAGUAGAGAUGACCGUUGCUGAAGCCACGGCGCUGCCGGCAGGACCAGCGCUCUGCUUCAGAGACCAGAUCACGCAGAUAAUAUGCCUCCUCUCGCCCUGAUGCUAAAUUCACUGCAGCGGUUUUUAUCCGAGUGCUAAUUUAAACUGCGCAGGCAAAUCGCUGCCAGCUCAUGGUGUUUUUACACCCCAUUCCCAGGAAGGCCUCUUUCCUUAGGUCCCACCACACAGCCAGUGGCCCCCGUGCCAGCUUCCAGGAGAAAAGGUUUUCCUGGGUCGACAUUGCCCUCAUACCUCCUGGGAAAAGGCAUUGCACAUCCCUGGACAGAGCCAGGCUUUGAAAGCCUCGCUGCAGCGAAAGGCAAAGGAGUCUAUGCCUGGGCCUUGCCCUGGGCUGAGGGUCAGCUCAACCUGGGGAGGGGGCACGCCAAACUAGGGAGCAGAGCAGAGACCAGUGCAUCCCAGGGAAGGGGAAUUGCUCCACGUUAGAGGAAAGGACCUAGGAAGAGGAGAGUAGUGAAGGGUAAAGGAAGGAGUCAACAGCAGGGGACUGAAGAUGGGCAAGAGAGAAGGGAGUCCCACAGACCCUGCUGUGACAAUGACUUCUUAAGUAGCCCCAAGCUAGCAGCCAGAGUUCAGUGCUUGGGCUUCCCAAGGCUCCCUGACAGUUUAGACUUUGCUCACCCUGUUCUUUCCUCCAUUGGACACAUCUGCGUUAGGAGUGUCUGGGAGGUAGAGACGAAAAGCGUUUUGCAGAGCUCAGAUGUCUCCACGGAGGCCGAAGACCAUGGCCAAGGAGGUCUGGAGAUGCCAGCCCCUGGUCACUUCAGUGUGGCUUUCCUCUGGCCUUGCUCAAGCUCUCCGACCUUGCAGUUGGAGGUCCAUAGACCACAGGAAUGGAGGCCUGGCCUCAGUGUUCUUGCCCAUAGGCAUACCCACCGGCCCAGGGCUCACAACACACAAGAACAUGCUGACAACCCAAAGACUCAGCUCCCUUUUUCUUUAGGGGAGUGAGGGCACUAACACCCCCUUGUUUGUUACUGCAGUUGUUUGACAGAGUAAAUGAAUGUGGAUAUUAGCAUCCUCCUUGAAAGCAAAGUGGUCCCCAAGGGCUAAGGCAAGGCAGACAGUCAGUCCACAAGCAGCUGCAGAGAGAGUGGAGCCAACAGGUUUCACUUAUACUAAGGCAGGGAAGCAGAUUUAAGGUCAAAGUUGAGGGUUUUGAGGAGAAAGAUGACAGGGCUUCUGGAAGCCAAAUCAAAGGUCAGCCAGAAGACCUUAACGAACGGGAGCCAGGAGGUGCUUGAAUUUGUGUGCCUGUGUAUGUGUGUUGUCUGUGAGGCUCUUCAUAGGUGCAAUGUGAUCCCGUGUGUGUGUGUGUGUGUGUGUGUGUGUGUGUGUGUGUGUGUGUGAUGCAGGGGUUCCUGCAUUUUUUUUAAAGCCAGUGUUUUGCUAUAAAACACUGGUUGUCCCAGUCUUUGCACCUUAUCAAUUCUGCCUCAGAAUGUGUGAAUCCACGUGUGCAUUUCUGUGUUUAUCUGCAAAUAAAUGUGUAAGUGUGUUCCCCAGCUCCUGUUAUCUUUGCAGGAGAUUGUGAUUCUGUGUUGACCCAGGCUUACCUGGCUGUCCAUUUCUACAGGACAGGCAGUUUCCCUGUGCUUGUUCCUUUCUCAGUGUCUUGCAUACAGUAGGCCCUUCCCUCUAUCAAGUUGUGUGACUCUGCCAGACGCCAUUUGGAGGGAGCCCUUAGACCAAGGAGGGUUCUGAAAAGAGGGCUCCCCUGCAUCUUGCAUUCCCACCCUCUUUGUGAGGGCAGUGGGUUUUGGGAAUGGGGUCUUAGACUCUUAGCUCCUGCGCUGGGUGUGAGGAGAGGGUGUGGCUGGGCUGGAAUUCAGGAGGAAGGCGACCCACCCUGAACUUCUUUAUUCCUCUCCACGCCCCUGCCUUCUUCUUUUCUUUGCAGAUCCGGAUUGAGAAGCCACUGCAACUAGCGAGAUGGGCAGCAAAACCUUGCCGGCGCCGGUGCCUAUCCACCCUUCCCUGCAGCUCACCAACUACUCCUUCCUUCAGGCAGUGAACGGCCUGCCCACAGUGCCUUCGGACCAUCUGCCCAACCUGUAUGGUUUCAGCGCGUUGCACGCUGUGCACCUGCAUCAGUGGACGCUGGGCUACCCGGCCAUGCACUUGCCGCGCUCUUCUUUCUCCAAAGUGCCAGGCACGGUGUCCAGCUUGGUGGAUGCGCGCUUCCAGCUGCCCGCCUUUCCCUGGUUCCCUCAUGUCAUUCAACCCAAGCCCGAGAUCACCGCUGGAGGCAGCGUUCCAGCGCUCAAGACCAAGCCGCGCUUUGAUUUUGCCAACCUGGCCUUGGCAGCAACGCAAGAAGAUCCAGCCAAGCUCGGUCGCGGGGAGGGCCCAGGCUCCCCUGCAGGUGGGCUGGGUGCCCUCCUCGACGUGACCAAGCUGUCUCCAGAAAAGAAGCCCACAAGGGGACGUCUGCCUUCCAAGACCAAGAAGGAAUUCGUCUGCAAGUUCUGUGGCCGCCACUUCACCAAGUCCUACAACCUACUUAUCCAUGAGCGGACGCACACCGACGAGCGGCCCUACACCUGUGACAUCUGCCACAAAGCCUUCCGGAGGCAAGACCACCUAAGAGAUCACAGAUAUAUUCACUCCAAAGAGAAGCCCUUCAAGUGUCAAGAGUGUGGGAAAGGAUUCUGCCAGUCCAGGACUCUCGCUGUCCACAAGACGCUACACUCACAGGUGAAGGAGCUCAAAACCUCCAAGAUCAAAUGCUAAAUAGAACUUCUGGGUCACAAGGACCCUAGGCCCAGCGGCCCUCUCCUCCAUAGGGACCAGAAGCCUGACUCUGGCGGGCAGCGGGAGAGGCGCUCGCUCGGGACCUUCCACCUCUCCAACAUUGUCCCCUGGGUCCCUGGCGCACGCGGCACUUCAGAGCCCCGCCCGGGGCCGCGACCCCGACCGUCCCUGCUGCUCCCCUAGGACGCGGCUAAACUCUUGGCCAAAAGGCGGUACUCACGUGGCGGAAGGGAAACUGCCUU